AUUGAACGCUGGCGGAAUGCUUUACACAUGCGAGUCGAACGGCAGCACGGGGGCAACCCUGGUGGCGAGUGGCGAACGGGUGAGUAAUACAUCGGAACGUGCCCAGUCGUGGGGGAUAACGUAGCGAAAGCUACGCUAAUACCGCAUACGAUCUGAGGAUGAAAGCGGGGGACCGUAAGGCCUCGCGCGAUUGGAGCGGCCGAUGGCAGAUUAGGUAGUUGGUGGGGUAAAGGCUCACCAAGCCUGCGAUCUGUAGCUGGUCUGAGAGGACGACCAGCCACACUGGGACUGAGACACGGCCCAGACUCCUACGGGAGGCAGCAGUGGGGAAUUUUGGACAAUGGGCGCAAGCCUGAUCCAGCCAUUCCGCGUGCAGGAUGAAGGCCUUCGGGUUGUAAACUGCUUUUGUACGGAACGAAAGGGCUCUCUCUAAUACAGGGGGCAUAUGACGGUACCGUAAGAAUAAGCACCGGCUAACUACGUGCCAGCCGCCGCCGUAA
Molecule: ribosomal RNA, 500 nt
Filed under: uncultured bacterium
Lineage: Bacteria
Description: partial 16S ribosomal RNA
Rfam family: Bacterial small subunit ribosomal RNA
Source: RNAcentral